AACCAACCCUGUGGAAUCUUGGAAGGGAGCAUGAGAAACUUCCUGCGAGAAGCAGCAAAGUCUUACCACUGUGUUAGCACAUGAGUUGCCUCUUAAAGGAUAACUAAGUCUGCCCCAAAAUCAUAGGUGGAAAAAAGCUUCCAAGCUUGUAUAAAGACUUGCAGGCAAGGGGAAAUUGCCACAUGUGCUGAGCAAUUCGAAGUUUAGUAUGGCAGAAGCAUUGAGGAAAGUGGAAAAACAUGAUAUAGAAUGAUACCAGAGUCUAAAAUAGCUUGCCUAUCAUUCUGUGAAGCUUGGAUUUUAUUCUAUGCCCAUCAGGUAAUCAGCAGAGGUUUUCAAUCUGGAAAGUAAUAUGUUUUAUUUAUUUAUUUUUUCUUUUUAAGAAAUGAAACCUAGAGAUACUAUCUAUAAGGGUCUUGUCAGAAAACAGUUAAGAAAUACUUUCAAUAGCCCAAGUGAGAUUUUGUCUUAGUUCAGAUUGCUGUAAUGAUACAUCCUAGGCUAGGUGUCUCAUUAAAAAAAACAAAAACAAAAAAAAUAGAAAUGCAUUUCUCAUAGUCCUGGAGGCUGGGAGUCUGAGAUCAGUGUGCAACAUGGUAGGAUUCUAGUGAGGGUCCUCUUCAGGUCUCAAAUGGUCUUCUCCUUGUCUCCUCACAUGUUGGAGAGAAGAAAAGCUAGCUCUCUGGUGUCUACUCACCAAUGCCAUCCCUGAGGGCUCUACCCUCAUGAUCUUUAUCUCCUAAAAGCCCCACCUCUUAACACCAUCACUUUGGCAUUAGGGUUUCAACACAUGAAUUUGGGGAGCACACAAACAUUCAGUUUAUUGUGAUGUACUGAGCACUCUCAAUGACAGUGGUGAUAGGACAGAGGUCUUCAAAAUAGACUAAAUGGAUGACUGGGGAGGGAGUUGACAGUGUAUUUGAGGUCCUUGUAGUAGUAAGUGAUUAAAUUAAGAACACAGGGUACAGGUGAGAUUUUCAUUCAUUCAAAACCCCUUCCAUUAAGUGUCUUUCAUAUAUCAAAAGCUGUGUAGGAGCCUGAAAUAAGAUGAAAAGAAAUAAUUCCUACAAUUAAGUUGAAGCUAUACAAUAAUAAAAUUUAAUGUGCCAGUGAACAAAUGAAAUGGGUGGUUUAUAACAAAGGAAGUUAUAGUUUGUUAAGUCAAAUAAUCAAACAAGAGUUUGGAAAAUAGUAUGGAGGAGGGAGUGGACACAGUAGAUCAUUGAAACUCCAAUUCUUACAAUGCAUCCAAAGGAAUAAAAUGGCCCAGGGAACUGGGGCGAUCAUUCACAGUGCCUUUUACCUGCAUUCCAACUCCAUUCUGUCAUAAUUUAACAAUAAAACCCAUAUUUUACUUUUAUUCACUCACCCAUGUAUUCAUUCAUCUUUUCAAUAAAUGUUAUAAGCUCAUGCUAAGUACUAUGCAUACAAGAUGCAUGCAUGUGCAAAUAUGUUAGUGUGUGUCUGGGGGAAUGGCAGAGAAUGGAAGAGGACAUAGGUGAGAGGAUGAAGACUGACAUGGG
Molecule: long non-coding RNA, 1523 nt
Filed under: Marmota monax (woodchuck)
Lineage: Eukaryota; Metazoa; Chordata; Mammalia; Rodentia; Sciuridae
Source: RNAcentral